Molecule: long non-coding RNA, 713 nt
Organism: Cyprinus carpio carpio
Lineage: Eukaryota; Metazoa; Chordata; Actinopteri; Cypriniformes; Cyprinidae
Source: Ensembl
CAGUCGGCAUGGACUCUCUGCUGUCCUCCUCGUCUGGUUCUGCAGAAGAGAGGCUCUGGUGGGCCGCAGGGUCUCAGCGUUUGCUGCAGUCUCACGCGUCAGACGCGUCUCAGUUCGUGGAGUACAGGCCUCCUGCGCGUGACUCCAUCUCUGUGCCGCCGCAUGUGCUGUACAUCACCGUGGGACUGGUGCUGGUGGUUGUGGCCACAUAUGCGAUAGUAGGUCACCUGAUCCAUGACCUGAUCCAUGACCUGGCAGACUGGGUCUUUGGCCCUAAACCUGAAGCUGGUGAUGCUGAGCGCGGCGGUGAAGAGGAGAGGGUUCUGAUGGAGGAAGAGCGAGCCGGUCUGCUGCCGGGAUUCAUCACCACCGAACACUAUCACACAGGGUCCGGCCUUCAUUACAUCACUUCACUAUGAGUCUACACACAGUCUGUGCCAGCUGUCACCAUUCUGGCUUAAGUUUUCACUUCGUUUUUAACAUGUUUUUAACAUACCAGAUGCUCUAUUAGCUGCUGUAGAACAGUGAAGGAUAGAUAGCAGUCUUUCAGUAUGGAAAGAGGACGUGGUCAUGUGAUCGUUGUGAUGUCAUCAUUGUAACUGCUGCUUCUGUGAUGCCAUUAAAAUGAAUUCUGGCACUGUAUAUAUACAUAUAACAGAAGGCAUAAAUGAUGCAAGUGUGAUACAGAAUUAAAGUCUCUCCUCAUUAGGAAC